Molecule: ribosomal RNA, 119 nt
Filed under: Pteropus alecto (black flying fox)
Lineage: Eukaryota; Metazoa; Chordata; Mammalia; Chiroptera; Pteropodidae
Source: RNAcentral
GUCUAUGACCAUGCCACCCUGAACGAGCCCGAUCCCAUCUGAUCUCGGAAGCUAAGCAAACUCAGGCCUGGUUAGUACUUAAAUGAGAGACCACCUAGGAAGACCAGAUGCUGUAGGCA